RNAcentral lists this long non-coding RNA (651 nucleotides) under Equus asinus (donkey). RNAcentral's name for it is "lncRNA (ENSEASG00005029533.1)". The record is from RNAcentral. Lineage: Eukaryota; Metazoa; Chordata; Mammalia; Perissodactyla; Equidae.
CGUUUAUGGGGUCCCCGCACAGAGAAGGUUUCCCCUGUCGCGGGUUUCCACUCUACCGGUGGCGGGAGUCCUAGACGAUCCCCUGGUCACACGGCCCCUCCCCCACUCCUUCCCAGACCCGCGCGGUGAUCCCGGUUUCUAGGGGAUGGAGCGAUGUUCUCUCUUACCCUGUUCCAGCUCCUCCGAGUUAAUUUCCAUCACAUUUCUGAGAAGAUUAAGAAUUAAGUGAAGGAAAACUCAGAAAUGGUCCAACAAGUAGCCGUUUGUGAACAGAAGAUCAAUGAAGCGAAGAAACAUGCUCAAGAAACAAAGGGGCAAAAUAAUAUUCUCUGUGAUGAAGUACAUAAAUUUAAGUCCGGAGAUAUGAGUGUAGGAUUCAAGGAUUCCAUGCAGAGAGCCUCAAUACCUAAUAAAUGUACCCUGGAAGAAAGGAAAAAGAAGCUAGAAGACAACUGUGAGGCAUUGAGAUCUGUUAAAGUGGCAAAGAAAUCAAAUUAAAAAUGUUAAAGAACAACAUAGGCAUGAUUGAUGAAAUCUGUGGACAAAGAAAGAUGGUCAAGAGGAGUAAGAUAUUCGCGUGUUGUUACAAAUACUGUUGUGUUAGUGAAUGUGGGGAACAAUGUAGAUAAUUAUAAUUCUUUUAGAAUAUUU